ACUCCUACGGGAGGCAGCAGUGGGGAAUAUUGCACAAUGGGCGCAAGCCUGAUGCAGCCAUGCCGCGUGUAUGAAGAAGGCCUUCGGGUUGUAAAGUACUUUUCAGCAGUGAGGAAGGUGGAUAUGUUAAUAGCAUAUUCAUUUGACGUUAGCUGCAGAAGAAGCACCGGCUAACUCCGUGCCAGCAGCCGCGGUAAUACGGAGGGUGCGAGCGUUAAUCGGAAUUACUGGGCGUAAAGCGCAUGCAGGUGGUUUGUUAAGUCAGAUGUGAAAGCCCGGGGCUCAACCUCGGAAUUGCAUUUGAAACUGGCAAACUAGAGUACUGUAGAGGGGGGUAGAAUUUCAGGUGUAGCGGUGAAAUGCGUAGAGAUCUGAAGGAAUACCGGUGGCGAAGGCGGCCCCCUGGACAGAUACUGACACUCAGAUGCGAAAGCGUGGGGAGCAAACAGGAUUAGAUACCCUGGUAGGCUCUAGC
RNAcentral lists this ribosomal RNA (475 nucleotides) under uncultured bacterium. RNAcentral's name for it is "bacterial SSU rRNA". It matches the Rfam family "Bacterial small subunit ribosomal RNA", at positions 335 to 800 of the family's 1533-position model. The record is from RNAcentral.